RNAcentral lists this transfer RNA (85 nucleotides) under Flavobacteriales bacterium. RNAcentral describes it as "tRNA-Leu". It matches the Rfam family "tRNA". Rfam says of the family: Transfer RNA (tRNA) molecules are approximately 80 nucleotides in length. Their secondary structure includes four short double-helical elements and three loops (D, anti-codon, and T loops). The record is from RNAcentral. Lineage: Bacteria; Pseudomonadati; Bacteroidota; Flavobacteriia; Flavobacteriales.
GCUCAAGUGGUGGAAUUGGUAGACACGCUGGAUUCAAAAUCCAGUGCUUCACGGCGUGCGGGUUCGAUUCCCGCCUUGAGUACAA